RNAcentral lists this ribosomal RNA (236 nucleotides) under uncultured bacterium. RNAcentral describes it as "partial 16S ribosomal RNA". It matches the Rfam family "Bacterial small subunit ribosomal RNA", at positions 524 to 758 of the family's 1533-position model. The record is from RNAcentral.
UACAGAGGGGGCAAGCGUUGUUCGGAAUUACUGGGCGUAAAGGGCGCGUAGGCGGCCUGUUAAGUCGAACGUGAAAUCCCUGGCUCAACCCAGGAACUGCGUCCGAUACUGGCAGGCUUGAAUUCGGGAGAGGGAUGCGGAAUUCCAGGUGUAGCGGUGAAAUGCGUAGAUAUCGGGAAGGAACACCAGUGGCGAAGGCGAUCACCUGGGGUUGUUCGUGACGCUGAGGAGCGAAA